RNAcentral lists this long non-coding RNA (440 nucleotides) under Felis catus (domestic cat). RNAcentral's name for it is "lncRNA (ENSFCAG00000041764.2)". Lineage: Eukaryota; Metazoa; Chordata; Mammalia; Carnivora; Felidae. The record is from RNAcentral.
UAUGCCUUGGAGAUGUUGGCCAGGAGUGACCAACAAAGUGACUCCUCAAAGCUACGAAGAAGCAAGCCUGCCCCCAGACCUGGUGGUUCAGGACCAUGGAGAGCAUCCUACAUAGCCUUCACCAGCCCAGACCCCAUCCAUAUUCUCACUCAUCUCCCUGUGUCCACCCUUGCCCUGCACCUAUCUGAUCCCCACAGUGCAGCCAGAUACACGUUUCUCUAAGAAAACUCAGGCCACUGGGGUGCCUGGAUGGCUCAGUCAGUGAAGCGUCUGACCCUUGAUUUCGGCUCAGGUCAUGAACUCAAGGUUUGUGAGUUCAAGCCCCUCCUCAGGCUCUGCACUGACAGUGUGGGGCCUGCUUGGGAUUCUUCAUCGGGAUCUCUCUCUUUCUCCCUCUCUCUCCCUUUCUCUCAAAAAUAAAUAAACCAACAUGUAAAACA